GACAUCUUUAGUCCUACAUCGAUUGUGAGUCAGAAGAAAGUAUGAUUUAUAUGGAUCAAGAUCAUCUCUCUCUUUGUGAGGUAUCUUUUAAAGGAUAAACUUGUAAGGCCCAACAUGGCAUCUGACCCCCACUUAUCAAAAGUUAAAAAAUUAAUAUUAAAUGUAUAGUCCAACUCAAAAUAAAAUAGUUUCCAAAUUUUUUUUAUAGAAGAUA
Molecule: long non-coding RNA, 214 nt
Filed under: Elaeis guineensis (African oil palm)
Lineage: Eukaryota; Viridiplantae; Streptophyta; Magnoliopsida; Arecales; Arecaceae
Description: long non-coding RNA (EGUI_LNC019232)
Source: RNAcentral